CUAUACCACUCGUACACGGCGGUUCUGAGCGCGCCGUCCGCACACCCGCCGGACGACUGCUCGCUACGUUUUGUUAGCC
This 79-nucleotide small RNA is filed under the name Xanthomonas campestris pv. lawsoniae. RNAcentral's name for it is "sX9 sRNA". It matches the Rfam family "Xanthomonas sRNA sX9". The record is from RNAcentral. Lineage: Bacteria; Pseudomonadati; Pseudomonadota; Gammaproteobacteria; Lysobacterales; Lysobacteraceae.